Long non-coding RNA from Rhineura floridana, 492 nucleotides. RefSeq lists it as uncharacterized. The transcript has 2 exons. The record is from RefSeq and is a predicted model, not a curated record. NCBI's taxonomy places the organism in Eukaryota, Metazoa, Chordata, Lepidosauria, Squamata, Rhineuridae.
UCAUCAGCCUUUGUUGGACUUGGUGUCUAGUUUUCAAAAAAAGUUACAGCUGUCACUUUAAUGCUCAAGCUCUGAAAGGCCCAUCAAGGACAGGUGGUGCUCCAGCUGUUGAGAGCUAAAAAGAGAAGCACACAAACAGACAUGGGAAAAUUCAGACCAUCCAGGAGCAUGAGCCGUUGCCAUCGCAGAAAGCAACAAAAAAGAAGUCAUGGAGGUGGAUCUGGAAAAAGAAAGAGACAGCCUGGCAAAACAAGGAGAGGUCAGAGGUCUCAUGGGCUCAGGAGAGAGAGGAGGAGAAGACAUGACUAAACUCCUCCUUUGUGGUCUUCUCUGGUCUUGAUCUAAAAAGCUGACCUUUCUAGAACUUCCACCAAACAAAAAAUGAAAUGAAGUAAAAUUCUUUUCAUCAGAACAACCAAGAUGACUUCCCAGGAAUCAAACAACAGGAAAAUGAUUGAGCAAGGCCACCUGUCAAUAAAUGUUAGCAUUUCA